Molecule: long non-coding RNA, 471 nt
Organism: Vombatus ursinus (common wombat)
Lineage: Eukaryota; Metazoa; Chordata; Mammalia; Diprotodontia; Vombatidae
Source: Ensembl
CAGGAAACUUCUCCAUAUCUCUUCUGCAAAGAUGAAGUUCUUUGUCGUUUUCAUCCUAGCUGCUCUGGCUGGUGCACUUGUCUGUGGCCAAGAGACUCCCUCUGACCCUGUGGCUGAAGAGCCUGUAGACAAUGCAGCCAACCCAGAAGCCCCUGCAGAAGUAACCUCAGAGCCAACGACAGCCCCUGCAGAAGCAAGUUCAGACACUGCGCAGACAACUUUAGCAGCUGAAGAGUCAGCUGAGAAUCAAAUGGCCACUACUCAAAAAGCGGAACCCAGUAUCACCAGAUUAGCAUUAAUUAAGCCUUUUGCAACCUACGUGAAGAAUAAAAUUGAAGAGGCUGAAGAGAGAAUCAAGACUAAAGUGAGUGCAGCAGUUAAGAAGACUCCUCGUAAAUAUGUCCUUUUCUCCUGAGCAACCUGAAGAAACUGGCUAGAAUUCAACCUUCAAAGGAAUUACAAAUAUUGUAU